AGCAGCCGCGGUAAUUCCAGCUCCAAUAGCGUAUAUUAAAGUUGUUGCAGUUAAAAAGCUCGUAGUUGAAUUUCGGGAUCAAUAUGUCGGUCGUGCCAUUGGUACGUACUGGUAUCAUUGAUUUCUCCUUUCUGACGAACCAUGAUGUCAUUAAUUUGGUGUUAUGGGGAGUUAGGACUGUUACUUUGAAAAAAUUAGAGUGUUUAAAGCAGGCAUUAGCUUGAAUACAUUAGCACGGAAUAAUGAAAUAGGACGUUUGACCCUAUUUUGUUGGUUUCUAGGAUCGACGUAAUGAUUAAUAGGGAUAGUUGGGGGCAUUAGUAUUCAAUUGUCAGAGGUGAAAUUCUUGGAUUUAUUGAAGACUAACUACUGCGAAAGCAUUUGCCAAGGAUGUUUUCAUUAAUCAAGAACGAAAGUUAGGGGAUCGAAGACGAUCAGAUACCGUCGUAGUCUUAACCAUAAACUAUGCCGACUAGGGAUCGGACGCAGUUAAUUUUAUUAAUGACGUGUUCGGCACCUU
Molecule: ribosomal RNA, 520 nt
Filed under: uncultured Glomus
Lineage: Eukaryota; Fungi; Glomeromycota; Glomeromycetes; Glomerales; Glomeraceae
Description: SSU rRNA
Rfam family: Eukaryotic small subunit ribosomal RNA
Source: RNAcentral